UCGACGCUUCCUUCGGUGAAAGUGGCGAACGGGUGAGUAAUACAUAAGUAACCUGGCAUCUACAGGGGGAUAACUGAUGGAAACGUCAGCUAAGACCGCAUAGGUGUAGAGAUCGCAUGAACUCUAUAUGAAAAGUGCUACGGGACUGGUAGAUGAUGGACUUAUGGCGCAUUAGCUGGUUGGUAGGGUAACGGCCUACCAAGGCGACGAUGCGUAGCCGACCUGAGAGGGUGACCGGCCACACUGGGACUGAGACACGGCCCAGACUCCUACGGGAGGCAGCAGUAGGGAAUUUUCGGCAAUGGGGGAAACCCUGACCGAGCAACGCCGCGUGAAGGAAGAAGUAAUUCGUUAUGUAAACUUCUGUCAUAGAGGAAGAACGGUGGAUAUAGGGAAUGAUAUCCAAGUGACGGUACUCUAUAAGAAAGCCACGGCUAACUACGUGCCAGCAGCCGCGGUAAUACGUAGGUGGCGAGCGUUAUCCGGAAUUAUUGGGCGUAAAGAGGGAGCAGGCGGCACUAAGGGUCUGUGGUGAAAGAUCGAAGCUUAACUUCGGUAAGCCAUGGAAACCGUAGAGCUAGAGUGUGUGAGAGGAUCGUGGAAUUCCAUGUGUAGCGGUGAAAUGCGUAGAUAUAUGGAGGAACACCAGUGGCGAAGGCGACGAUCUGGCGCAUAACUGGCGCUCAGUCCCGAAAGCGUGGGGAGCAAAUAGGAUUAGAUACCCUAGUAGUCCACGCCGUAAACGAUGAGUACUAAGUGUUGGGAGUCAAAUCUC
This 775-nucleotide ribosomal RNA is filed under the name uncultured bacterium. RNAcentral describes it as "bacterial SSU rRNA". It matches the Rfam family "Bacterial small subunit ribosomal RNA", at positions 73 to 839 of the family's 1533-position model. The record is from RNAcentral.